RNAcentral lists this ribosomal RNA (497 nucleotides) under uncultured bacterium. RNAcentral describes it as "partial 16S ribosomal RNA". It matches the Rfam family "Bacterial small subunit ribosomal RNA", at positions 28 to 507 of the family's 1533-position model. The record is from RNAcentral.
GAUGAACGCUGGCGGCGUGCCUAAUACAUGCAAGUCGAGCGAACGGACGAGAAGCUUGCUUCUCUGAUGUUAGCGGCGGACGGGUGAGUAACACGUGGAUAACCUACCUAUAAGACUGGGAUAACUUCGGGAAACCGGAGCUAAUACCGGAUAAUAUUUUGAACCGCAUGGUUCAAAAGUGAAAGACGGUCUUGCUGUCACUUAUAGAUGGAUCCGCGCUGCAUUAGCUAGUUGGUAAGGUAACGGCUUACCAAGGCAACGAUGCAUAGCCGACCUGAGAGGGUGAUCGGCCACACUGGAACUGAGGCACGGUCCAGACUCCUACGGGAGGCAGCAGUAGGGAAUCUUCCGCAAUGGGCGAAAGCCUGACGGAGCAACGCCGCGUGAGUGAUGAAGGUCUUCGGAUCGUAAAACUCUGUUAUUAGGGAAGAACAUAUGUGUAAGUAACUGUUCACAUCUUGACGGUACCUAAUCAGAAAGCCACGGCUAACUACGUG